This 584-nucleotide unclassified non-coding RNA is filed under the name Hevea brasiliensis (rubber tree). Lineage: Eukaryota; Viridiplantae; Streptophyta; Magnoliopsida; Malpighiales; Euphorbiaceae. The record is from RNAcentral.
AUAUCUUCGAGUUCCUGAUGAGGUAAUUACAGUGAACAAAUAGUUCUCUUUCCCAUUGUAAAGCUACAUUAAAUUAAUCCGUUCAUAAUUUUCCCCCAUGAUGGUUUAACUCGUUUUGCUAGUCUGUGACAAUUUGUACUGAGUUCUUUAUGCUGUAUGAAAAGAACUAAGUUCGCUUUUAUAGUGCUGGAACAAUGUGUCUUUUGUCUGAAGGUAGUUGAUUUUGAUUGAUUUCUAAUUCCAUUCUCCAAUUGCUGACCCAAAAAGUAAAAAGAAACAUAUGAAUGUUUUCUGCCCAAGAUGAUGAUUUGGAGUCAGCAUCAGAUGUAACCCACAAAUUUGCAAAAUUAGUUGAAGUGGUAUCUGUGCAUCAUCAGAGCACAUGCAAGAUUUCUGUGAUAUUACUUAUCUUCGGCAUCAUAGUACCCAGUAAUAUGGUUAUUAAAUAAAUUAUUCUAGGAGAUUUUGAUAGUACUCUUUACAAACUUUAUUGCAAACGUUUCUGAUUGCUAAGUGGUCAGUGUGCCCUUUCAUGUUUAAGUGGCUUGUUUUGCUCAUUCAAUGCUGUAACUUUCAAUGUUUCA